CAGAGUAAGACGGCGCGCGUGGAUUAUUCCGUCAGUGCUUCGUGAACGGGGAGUUGUCACGGGGACGAAAGGCUUUGCCUGCGGUGCGCAGUCUGCAUCCCGCUGU
Molecule: non-coding RNA, 106 nt
Filed under: human gut metagenome
Description: THF riboswitch
Rfam family: THF (Tetrahydrofolate) riboswitch aptamer
About the family: THF riboswitch presents a pseudoknot that joins P1-P2 and the loop of P3 and two THF binding.
Source: RNAcentral